AAAAACCCAAGAGGCCCCAAGAGGACUAAUGAUUUACCUCCAAGGAUUGUAGAUAUCAGGGUCCACUCACUCUGCCAUUAUUCAGCUUUGCAAAACCAGUCAUAAACUCAGCCCAUUCCUUCCUUCCUCUCUCCUUCUAACAAUAUGAAUUCAUGAAAAUUAACUUCCAGUAGAUUCAAGCAUAAGCGAAGUUCUUAUUUUCUUAUUUGAUUGGGAGAAUAAAAUGUAUUGAGCAUUUGGGUGAGAUUGAAACUCCAGAAAAAUGGCGGAAUGUGGGACUGUGCCAUCGAAUUUUAAGCUGCAAUUGCAAACAAAUGGGUCUUGGUUCAAACCCCAGAAUUCAUACCCCAAAAAUUUUCCAAGCAGAAAUUAUAGGUCUGCAUCACUUCCUUCAUGGAGAGUCAGCAAGCGUAGUACUAUGUCUGUUGCAGUUACUUUCAGAACUCCUGUUUUUAAUGGAAGUCCCAUGAGGUGUAGCUGCUUGGGAACUAUGAUAGACUUUGAGAGUGCUGCUGCAUCUAGCUGGGUUCCUGUCAUUGACCAAGUGCUUCUGACUGCUAGUGUAUUCUUUGCUUAUAUGGCUGGAGUCAUUCCUUCUGGGGGCUCUUAUAUAAGAUCCCAAAAGAACAAGUCAAAUGACCUGCUGCUCCCUGAAACUCCCAUCUUUUUUGGUAGUACAACAGAAAAGGAAGAUCAGCUUGGUUGUCACUGUUCCUGGGAUGCAGUGAAAGGGAAAAUCACAAAGUCUCUUCUAGCUAUUGAAAAUGGUGUUAGUGUGGAAGAAAAUACCAAAGAAUAUGAAUUAGAUCGUGCAAAGAGGCCUCUUAAUUUGUAUGCCGUUGCCAUUGGUCCCAGAUUCAGGUUGCUUUUGUCUUUGGUUGAGCAACUUGAGAAAAUGGUUAAUGAAAUUCCAGACACAUCAAUGGCUAUGGAAAGGGAGGAAUGGCUGGGUUUAUUUUCCUCUACAGUAAAGAAGGCUUGUCAAUCAGCUUUGUUUUCUUGGAUGGAAAAGGAGUUCAGCAUAGAAAAUUGCAAGCCUGACAAGGAGCUUUUGCUGUCUAUGUCAGAGAAGUUGAGAGGAGAAGAUAUCAUCUUAGGAGAUUUUAGAAAAUCCGGCAAGAUGGAUCUUUUUGCAGAUUUGAUAGGUUUUUUCAGAUAUGGUUGCUUUAGGGAAUGGAGCUACUAUGAUCAUAAUGUUUAUCCCUUACAUGGAGGUGCUAUAUUGGAAGAUCUAAUUAUUACUCUCGCUGAUGCAAUAUCAAGUAUAUAUUUGGAGGUUAUAUCUGUAGACAGUGACAUUUCUGAAAAGAUUAGUAACUUUGGGCUGUCCUUGUGUACUUUGUCGACCAGAGAUUUGCAGAAAUUAAGAAAUGAGCUAUGCGUGAGUGGAUUCACCAGAACUUUGGAGAAAUUGUAUUAAUGUAUGAGGAUCGAUUCGACCUGCGAAUACUAAAGACUGAACCUUAUCGUGAGUCGGCUGAGACACUCGAGGAAAGUCAUAGUUGGUGGAGGAGACUUACUCUGAAGAAAUCUGUACAUGUGCAGUUCUCACUACGCUAUUCUGUAGUCAGUACCUUGUCUUUGACUUUAAAGCGCACAAGGGAACUAAGGGCCCUCAAAGGAUGGAAGUACUACUUCAGCCUCAUACUCGAGUUGUCUGACAUUGCAGUGCCGAUGGUGAAAGUAAUAGUUUCUCAGGUUCGCAAUGCCAUCUCUUUCUUCCUCGUUAGCUUGAUUGGACGGUCUGUAGGACUUGUAUAUACCGGAAUAAGGCAAUCUCUACGGUGGAAGUAAAGAUGACCUCUGGAACUCCCUCAUCUCAUGCUCCAAUUUUGCUUUGUUAGCUAGUAAUAUACACUUGAGUAGAUGGAUUAUAUAGGACAAAGCAACUUGCUACUCCAAUCCAGUGAUUCUUUUCUGGGCUAGUCCUAAGUUUAGCCCAGCCCAUUCUUUUUUGCUAAUUGUUGGGCCUUGAAAAUAUUAUUUGUUGUUUUGAGCAGGUCUUUGUCAUUUUUGGUGGUAAUUAUUACAGCACACCUCUAUUCAAUCGAUUAA
Molecule: RNA transcript, 2055 nt
Organism: Chenopodium quinoa (quinoa)
Lineage: Eukaryota; Viridiplantae; Streptophyta; Magnoliopsida; Caryophyllales; Amaranthaceae
Exons: 9
Source: RefSeq, a predicted model, not a curated record